Molecule: transfer RNA, 73 nt
Filed under: Solirubrobacteraceae bacterium
Lineage: Bacteria; Bacillati; Actinomycetota; Thermoleophilia; Solirubrobacterales; Solirubrobacteraceae
Also listed under: 2 other names
Description: tRNA-Arg
Rfam family: tRNA
About the family: Transfer RNA (tRNA) molecules are approximately 80 nucleotides in length. Their secondary structure includes four short double-helical elements and three loops (D, anti-codon, and T loops).
Source: RNAcentral
GCGCCCGUAGCUCAGUGGAUAGAGCGCCGCCCUCCGGAGGCGGAAGUCGCAGGUUCAAAUCCUGCCGGGCGCG